Molecule: ribosomal RNA, 253 nt
Filed under: uncultured bacterium
Lineage: Bacteria
Description: partial 16S ribosomal RNA
Rfam family: Bacterial small subunit ribosomal RNA
Source: RNAcentral
UACGUAGGGGGCAAGCGUUGUCCGGAAUCAUUGGGCGUAAAGAGCGUGUAGGCGGCCCGAUAAGUCCGCUGUGAAAGUCCAGGGCUCAACCCUGGGAUGCCGGUGGAUACUGUCGGGCUCGAGUCCGGAAGAGGAGUGUGGAAUUCCUGGUGUAGCGGUGAAAUGCGCAGAUAUCAGGAGGAACACCGAUGGCGAAGGCAGGUCUCUGGGCCACUACUGACGCUGAGAAGCGAAAGCGUGGGGAGCGAACAGG